CGCAUCUAUAACAAUCCAAUCAAGUGUUCCCAUACCCCAAACUCGUCUAACUAGAGAAAAAGAGAUGUCUGAGCAUUUUGUCUCAACUAAAAAAACAAUAUCUAUGUUGUGCUUAUUGAUGAGAUUCCUAAGAUAUCUUUUCUUAUAAGCAUUACCCAAACCUCUAGGAUUCCACGAGAGUACAACAAACAUGUUGGGACAAGAUAUCUUGAACCUUAAUUCUCUGGAGAAGAUGAUCUGCCUCAACUUAAUUAGCAAAGUGUAACAAGAGAUUCUCUUCAUCAACAUCAUAAGACAUAACCAAGUUCCUUUCGGCAUCCAUGGUGGCUUCUGCUUCUACUAGUGGUGAUAGGAUCAAAGGAUUAAUUCCCUCUUCCAAAGUUCAUUUAUAG
This 392-nucleotide unclassified non-coding RNA is filed under the name Hevea brasiliensis (rubber tree). The record is from RNAcentral. Lineage: Eukaryota; Viridiplantae; Streptophyta; Magnoliopsida; Malpighiales; Euphorbiaceae.